Hyla sarda is the source of this 534-nucleotide long non-coding RNA. RefSeq lists it as uncharacterized. The transcript is spliced from 4 exons. NCBI's taxonomy places the organism in Eukaryota, Metazoa, Chordata, Amphibia, Anura, Hylidae. The record is from RefSeq and is a predicted model, not a curated record.
GUGAGCCUGACAACAGCGCUAUUACAGGAGAAGGGAUGAGAAGCUGUUUUGGCGCCUAAAUGCAGGAUAUGAUGAGUAAGUACUGAGAAUAUUGAGAUGACGUCUGGGUAGCCCAGCAUACCUUACAGCUCAGCAAGGUCACAUGACCACAGGCUCAUUAUUUAGCAGGGGUGACCAAGAACUCAAGUGUAAGCUCCUCCGAGGGGAUAGAUGUGAAAUUUGUGCUCGGUCUUCAGGAUUGUGCCCUAACCCACGAUCCUAUUAGGAGUAUCACUUCCUCUGAUCGGCCAUUCUUUCAAGCUGCCAAGAAAUUUAUCGAUGAGGUGAAUGGACAUGAAAUAUCUGCCUUAGAAGAGGCUCCAGAAGUGCCAUGAAAUUAUCCCCUGAAAGCUUCAGAGAGAUGUGUGGUUUAUCAUCAAUUAUUAAAGGUGUAAUGAAGAAACUGCCCUACAGCGACAGACAACACCAAAGUUAUUUCCUUUCAGAAGCCAAAAGCAAUAAAAGACUCCAGAAAUGAAGAAUGUUAUAAAUUCA